This 32-nucleotide transfer RNA is filed under the name Echinococcus granulosus sensu lato G6/G7. Its description in RNAcentral is "partial tRNA-Phe". Lineage: Eukaryota; Metazoa; Platyhelminthes; Cestoda; Cyclophyllidea; Taeniidae. The record is from RNAcentral.
GAAGAGUUGGGGAUAACUUUUGUUAGAGAAAC